CCCUUUUAAACAAAACCAUGACCAAACCCUAACAUAUUCACCAAGCCCUAACAUAUUCUACUCUCAUCUCUCUCUUCCUCUCUCUGCUAGUAGCCAUGGAUGCCGUCGACCGCCACUUCUUCCACCACAGGCGCAACCAUAGACGGAGAAGCCUCCCCUCUCCCUAUACCCUUCUUUUCUCUCUCUUCAUUUCCCGCCGGUGAAACGUGCCACCAUCACCAACAACCCUAUCUGUCAGCCGCCGCCGUUCUCUGGACAAUCGAUGCCACAACUACCGCCAGCCAAUCCAGCCGCUACCAUCGGCGUAAAUAGAGGCAAGCGGAAUGAGGCCCUCAUAUAAUGUCGGCCCCCUUUAUUGUACUAUGUUGUUAUUUUUUUUUGAUGUUCAACUGUUUUCCUUUUAAUUCACGGUUCCUUAAUUUCAAACUAGUGCUUUAGAAAAAAAAAUUAGUCUUAUUUUUGUUUUCAAAUUAUUAAUAUUUUCCAUGAUUAUUGAAUGCAAAUUUUGAAUUUUAUAUUUACUCUUAAGUAGAUUCGAUGCAAAAAUUAUGUUGGAAAAGCUGCAAAAUAGACGGGUUGUAUUUAUUGGGGAUUCAAUUGGAAGAAACCCGUGGGAGUCUCAUCUGCUUGUUGUCUUCUGCAAUUCCUUAUAAAAGCAAGAUAUAUGAAGUUAAUAGAAGUUCUAUUACAAAGCACACAGGUUUCUUAUUUUUGUUUUCAAAUUAUUAAUUUCUAAUACUAAUGAAUAUAUUACCUAAUUGAACUACUCCAAUCAGCUCCUUAACUAGUUCAAUCAAAAAAAUAAAAAACUAACCAACACUAGCACACAAUGACAACAAUAUCCAUAUAUUUUGGAACAUAUACAUUGCAUCAACUGAUCAUAAUACUGAAAGGAUGAAAACAAAUACUAUCAAAAAUUACAAAACAAAUAUACUAGAAAAACAUUCUGGAGCCAGUGAUUCUUUUAUUAUGGAAAAAAACAAACAUCAAGCAACUAAUAGUUAACACUUCUGUUUAUUUUUCCCAAUUUCAAUUUUGUUCCAUUUUCACAUAGAAACCACAGAACUUGGAUUGACAUGAAAUGUGAAUUAAUUACUUGAAAAUGGUUAAGUGUAAUGACUUGAAAUGUGAAUUAGUUAUUUGAAAAUGGUUAAGUGUAGUGACUUGAAAUGUGUACUAGUUAUUUGAAAAUGGUUUAGUGUAGUUACUUGAAAAUGGUUAAGUAUAUUGACUUGAAAUGUCAAUUAGCUAUUUGAAAAUGGUUUGAGUGUAGUGACUUGAAAUGUGUACUAGUGACUUGAAAUGUGAAUAAGUUAUUUAAAAAUUAUUAAGUGUAGUGACUUGAAAAUGAUGAAGUGUAGUUACUUGAAAUUGAGAACUUGUGACUUGAAAAUGAUUAAGUAUAGUGACUUGAAAUCUGUACUAGUGACUUGAAAAUGGUUAGGUUUAGUUACUUAAAAGUGGAUACAUAUAGUGACUUGCAAUGUGAAUUAGUUAUUUGAAAAUGAUUAAGUGUAGUGACUUGAAAUGUGUACUAGUGACUUGAAAAUUGUUACUACGUAUAGUUAUUUGAAAAUGGUUAAGUAUAGUGACUUAAAAAUGUGAAUUAGUUAAUUGAAAAUAGUUAAGUGUAGUGAUUUGAAAUGCUAGUACAUGACUUGAAAAUGGUUAAGUAUAGUGACUUGAGAUGUCAAUUAGCUAUUUAAAAAUGGUUAGAGUGUAGUGACUUGAAAUGUGAAUAAGUUAUUUGAAAAUUAUUAAGUGUAGUGACUUGAAAAUAGUGUAGUGUGGUUACUUGAAAUUGUAAACUUGUGACUUAAAAACGGUUACUAGUGACUUGAAAAUAGUUAAGUGUAGUUACUUAGAAUGUGAAUUAUUUACUUGAAAGUGGUUAAGUAUAGUGAUUUGAAAUGAAUGAUUAAGUGUAGUGACUUGAAAAUGGUUAAGUAUAGUUAUUUUAAAUGUAAAGUAGUUAUUUGAAAAUGGUUAAGUGUAGUGACUUGAAACGUGAAUUACUUAUUUGAAAAUGGUUAAGUGUAGUGACUUGAAAUAUGUACUAGUGACUUGAAAAUGGUUGAAGUGUAGUUACUUGAAAAUGCUUAAGUAUAGUGACUUGAAAUGUUAAUUAGCUAUUUGAAAAUGGUUUGAGUGUAGUGACUUGAAAUGUGUACUAGUGAAUAAGUUAUUUAAAAAUUAUUAAUUGUAGUGACUUGAAAAUGAUUAAGUGUAGUUACUUGAAAUUGUGAACUUGUGACUUGAAAAUGGUUAAGUGUAGUUACUUGAAAUUGUGAACUUGAUGCUUGAAAAUGGCUAAGUGUAGUUACUUGAAAUGUGUACUAAUAACUUUAAAAAAAUAAAGUAUAGUCACUUGAAAAUGAUUAAGUAUAUUGACUUGAAAUGUGAUUUAGUUAAUUGAAAAUAGUUAAGUGUAGUGAUUUGAAAUGUGUACUAGUAACUUGAAAAUAUUCUACGUGUGGUGACUUGCAAUGUUAAUUAGUUAUUUGAAAAUGGUUAAGUGUAGUUACUUGAAAUGUAUAUUAGUUAUUUGAAAAUGAUUAAGUAUAGUGAAAUAAAAUGUCAAUUAGAUAUUUGAAAAUGGUUUAAGUAUAGUAUCUUGAAAUGUAUACUAGUAACUUGAAAAUAUUAAGUGUAGUCACAUGAAAUAUGAACUAAUGACUUGAUUUUUAUAUGUUUUGAUGUAAGAGCUCGAAGUCAACUGCUAAAAAGAAAUCUCAGACACCUGUAGACUCCAAUGAAAAAACUUUAGGAUUGUUUAAGUGUUUUGGUGGUUGUUGGAUUAAUUAUUAAGUAUUUUGUAUUUUGGAUUGUUGUUGAUUUGAAUUACUUGAAUGUUUUGAUAAUGUUGUGCGUUGUAUGAUUAUUUUAGAAAUGUGUGUUGCAUAAGGCUGUAUAUAUUGAAUUGCAUUUUUAUUUGGCAGGUGGAAUGCAAAAAAUGCAGAUUUUUGCAUCAAAAAAAAAUACAGAAAAGCGACGGACAUGAUCCUUUUCAUCCGUCGCUUUUCUGAAAUUUUUUAAAAUAAAAUUUUUAAAAAGCCACGGCCAACGUCGCUUUUUUUCUUCAUUAUGAAGAACAAAAAGCGACGACCAAUGUUGCUUUUUUUUCUUCAUUAUGAAGAACAAAAUGCGACGGCCAACUUCACUUUUUUUCUUUAUUAAGAAGAACAAAAUGCGACGGCCAACGUCGCUUUUUGUCUUCACUAUGAAAAAAAAAUAUUUUUCUCAAAAUACGAUGGACAAUGUCCUUUUUUUUUUAAUCUUUCCUUCAAUAAAACGAUGUUAUGCGUCGUUUUUUGUUCAUCAUGUGUUCUUCACAUGAAGAACCAAAAACGACGCACAGCGUCACUUUUUCUAAAAAAAAGUAACUUGAUUUUUUUUUCAAAAAGAGACGCUCUCCGUCGUAAUAAAAGCGACACAUGCCGUUGUUUUCAAAAAACAACGCCCCUUUUUUAGACGAAAAAAAAGCGACGGAUUUUCGUCGAUUUUGCCCAAAACAGCGACGCUGGCCGUCGCUUUUUGGCAUUUUUUUAGUAGUGUUACUUCAUUUUUGAAGUGUAUAUGAUAGCAGUGCGUAAUAUGUCAGAAAGAAGACAAGUGAUUGAAUGCACGAAUAUAUGCGUGGAGGGACAAUGUGAUAAUGAUCAUCAAAAGUGAUGAUAUUUUCACACGCGAAUUAUGAUCAUAAGAUAUGUUAGAGAAAAAUUCUCUAGAUCAUAUGCCUCGAUUUGCUCCUGAAGUAGCAAUAUCAUAAAAAAGGUUAUAAGCUAUCAAUUUGAUAGGCUUAAGACACAAUUAUAUUUCAUUCAUGGGAAUGAGAAUUUUAAUUUUUAUAAGCAUAGAUCCAUUCCCUUAGUGAAUGUGAUGAUAUUUAGUGAAGCUUAUCGACAAACGUGAACUUGAUUGUGAUGGCUUCACAACCCACCUCUGGAUGAGGCAGAACAAACGAUAAGAGUUAUUUUGAAAUCAUCGAGAAGAGUUAUUUUGAAAUCUACUUCUAAAGUAGUAAAUCUGAAAUUUAUUCAUGUAAUAGUAAAUCUGAAAUUUACCAAAGUAAAAAAGUACAUGUCAUGGUAAACUUGGAGUUUGCUAGAAUAAAAGUUCAUAAGUUGACAUGAACGAUUAUGACAUCCUGAAGAUGUGCAUAUUGAGUAUUGGACAUGUAAUGAAGAAUUAGAAAAUUCUUUAAGAAUUAUUCAUGUUGUUUGUUCUCAUGAUAAGUUGGUUGGGCCAACUAAUUAUUGAAUUGGAUCCCUCAAGAUCUGAAAAAUAUAAAAGGUGAAUAAGGGCCCGUUCACCUUUCAUGUGAUAUAUUAAAAAAAAUACAUUAAUAAGAUAAUCACAUGUACAUUUAUUGUCAACCUGUAGUUUGACAUUCAUUAAGUUGUUUGCUCAAUAAAAUAGAGUUAAGCGCAUAACUUACAGAUUGUGCAGUCAAGACAAUUCAUCUUGAUGAAAAUGGUUUGGAAUUGAAUGCCUUUAAUAAAUAGCUAAACCAUUGUUGAUGAGAACAAAGCUUCAUGUAUUCGUCUGAAAUAUGAUAUGUUGUAUACAAUAACACUUGUAUGCAUUAGACCAAUAAAUUAUGAUUAUUUCUUCCUUCUCAAUUGGUUCAAGGCCAGGAACCAACUAUUCCAUCUAAUAGUUUUGAUGUACGGUAUACGAUUAAUGAAUAUACCAUGAUGCGCAAAGAUAGAGGAUGUGUGUUAGUUUUUCUAACAGAAGGGGAAGAUUAUAAGCAGCUAUGAAAUAUGUUAGGAAUUAUCAUCAGAUCCUCAUUCAAAAGAUAAUUCAAGUCGAAUGCCGAACGCAUCUUAUAUUUAAGCUGCAAGUGCUCUUAUUUUGUGUUCAUAAAGGACAAAGUCUACGCAUACAUGAAGCAUGAUAGACUAAUCUAUUUCAAAUGAAAUAAUCUUUGAAAAAUAAAGAGCAAAUAAUCAUAAUUAGAAGGUAAUAUGCUCUUGAAAAGCCUAUGACAUAACACUUCAUGAAACCUUAUGAGAAGUUCAGGUACCAGAAAAUAAUGAAGUGAUGGGAUCUCAAAAUGUUAUGUCAUACUGUGAACCGAUAUGAAAUGAUAUAUCAUCAAUAAUAUCUUUGAUACAAUAUUGGUGCAAUAUUAUAAAGUAUUACGAGAAUCCGAAUUCUACGUUUAUUUAAGUAUGCUGACAUAGAAAUGUUUAUCAAGUGACACGAAAGAAUGAAUUUUGGUAAGUAUAAAAAUUAUUUGAUUUGUAGUCCAGACACUUGAAGAUGUCACACUUGACAUUUUGGAUAUUGUCACUUGACAAAAAUCCAUAUGAAAAUCUCUAAAGGAUUCAAAAUGCCUGAAGCAUAUAAAGUUUCUGGGGAAUUUUUAAUUAUCCUUAUAAGAGAUAAUUUGAUGAUUUGAGUAUUAUUGGAACUCUUGGAGAGUUUUCAAAAGCAAUAGAAUUUUUACUUAAAUGAGAAACAUAAUAAGGAUCUAUUCUGACCUCAAAAAAAGAAUGAGGAACUCCUUGGUUAUGAAGUACAAUAUCUUAGUGCAAUUGAUGUACUCAUGUAUCUUGCAAAUACUAUAAGACCUGAUAUAGCUCUUUUCAAUUAAUUUGUUAGCAAGUUUGUAGUCCCGAUCUUAUUGAUCAUAUUGAUGUUGGGCACUUAUCUGACCUAUAUAAAGCUUGGUCUCAAAUAGGCUAUAUGUUCAUAUGUGGUGGUACUGCCAUAUCUUGGAGAUCAACAAAGUAGUCUAUCGUAGCCACUUUAUCGAAUCACGCUGAGAUUAUAGCUAUUCACGAAGCAAGCCGAGAGUGUGUGUGGUUGAGGUCCAUAAUACAUCUCAUUCGAGAAAAAUGUGGCUUGAAAUGUGAUAAAUUACCCACGAUUUUAUAUGGAGAUAAUGCAGCAUGCAUAGCAGAACUUAAGGGAGGAUUCAUAAAAGGAGAUAGAACGAAACACACUUCAUCAAAGCUUUUCUACAUGCAUGAGCUCCAAAAGAAUGGUGAAAGUUACAUGUAAUAGAUUCGUUCAAAUGACAAUGUGAUUGAUUUAUUCAUCAAGUCUCCUCCAAUUGCAACUUUCAAGAAGAUGGUGCACAAGAUCGGGAUGCAAAGGUCCAAGGAUGUUCUCAUUAUGUGGAGUUAAUACGCACUGUACUCUUUUUCCCUUAUGAGAUUUUGUCCCAUUGAGUUUUCCUUGUAAGGUUUUUAAUGAGGCAGCUUAUAUGAGUAUUGUUAGAGAUGCGUACUCUUUUUCCUUCACUAGAUUUUUUUCCACUGGGUUUUUUUCUAGUAAGGUUUUAACGAGACACAUUAUCUAUCAAUUAGACAUUCAAGGGAGAGUGUUAUAAAUGUACCAUAUAUAGUGAAUAUCUACUUUAGCAUAUAUAGUGAAUACCUACUUUACCAUAUAUUGUGUAUGUUUAUUUAUGGAAAAGUUACAAACUCCAAGGUUAGUUUUCCCCUAUAAGUAAAAGGGUUUUGCUUCAUUGUAAUUCAUCCCAUCAAGACACCUCUCAAGUGAAGAGAAAUAAGAAUUACUCUCUAUUCUCUAUUCUUCUUCUUCUUCUUUGCUUUAUGUUUUAUAACACAUUAUAUGAAAAAAAUGAAUAAUGCACUAAAAUAAUGCACUAUAUAAAAUAAAUUAGAUAAUGCACUAUAUGAAAAAAAAAUGAAUAAUGCAUAAAAGUGGACUAUCCACUUUUAACAUUGGUAACCUAUUCGUUAAAAAAAAACAUAUAAUGCACUAAACCUAUUCUAAUUACCUUUUAUAUCAAUAGCAUAUUUAUGUCCUUUUUAAAAAUUUACUGAAAUAUUUUAGUUAAGAACUCUAUGCAGAUUUACCCAUGAAUGAUAUAUCCAUUCACUGUUGGGGGUUAUUGAAAAAAGUAAAAAGAAUACCUGAAGCUUGGAUUCAAGGAAAGCAAGAAAGGUGGCAGGAAUAUUCCUCUGAUGCCACCUCCAUCUAUGCUCAAAAUUGUAAUUAUCUUUCCUGUUGCAGCAGCAGAAGCUAUUGGAGUUGGUAAAACUUGAAGGGUCAGUAAUAAAGUUUGUGCAGCUACACAAACUCUACUCAUAAUGUUCCAAGCGCAUAUGUUUGUGAUAUAGUUGGAAGAGAAGAGGUACUUCGAAACCCCUUAUUCAUACUCUUAAAUUUCCUUUAUUCUAAGA
RNAcentral lists this long non-coding RNA (7163 nucleotides) under Capsicum annuum. Its description in RNAcentral is "long non-coding RNA (CANN_LNC002945)". The record is from RNAcentral. Lineage: Eukaryota; Viridiplantae; Streptophyta; Magnoliopsida; Solanales; Solanaceae.